CAUUGGUGAAAAUCCAAUGCCCCGAAAACCUAAGGGUUCCUCCGCAAGGUUCGUCCACAGAGGGUGAGUCGGGGCCUAAGAUCAGGCCGAAAGGCGUAGUCGAUGGACAACAGGUGAAUAUUCCUGUACUGCCCUUUGUUGGUCCCGAGGGACGGAGGAGGCUAGGUUAGACGAAAGAUGGUUAUCGGUUCAAGAACGUAAGGUGUCCCUGCUUUGUCAGGGUAAGAAGGGGUAGAGAGCAGUGACUUGAGAACUUAAAGCACUACUCUAUUUCGAUUUAGCCCAAAUUGAUUUAUUGGUUUCUUGUCAAACAAAGAGG
RNAcentral lists this non-coding RNA (319 nucleotides) under Nicotiana attenuata. Its description in RNAcentral is "Bacterial large subunit ribosomal RNA". It matches the Rfam family "Bacterial large subunit ribosomal RNA", at positions 1316 to 1593 of the family's 2925-position model. Lineage: Eukaryota; Viridiplantae; Streptophyta; Magnoliopsida; Solanales; Solanaceae. The record is from Rfam by way of RNAcentral.